Long non-coding RNA from Haemorhous mexicanus (house finch), 639 nucleotides. RefSeq lists it as uncharacterized. The record is from RefSeq and is a predicted model, not a curated record. Lineage: Eukaryota; Metazoa; Chordata; Aves; Passeriformes; Fringillidae. The transcript is spliced from 2 exons.
UGGUUUUCAGAGCAGGGCUGGCUGGAAACCCCCCCUGCAGGGGCAGCUGUGAGGGAACCAGUCCGGAAAUGCAGCAAUUGAUCAUUUGUUCCUCUUGGUAAGGGACUGAGAGAGCCUCAGCACUACUGCAAAUCUCACACCAAUCUGCUCAGCAGCCUGACCUGGACCCUCCUCCUCCUCCCUGCCUUGCCGUGGAUGGACAGUGCCCGGAUGCCCCGCACCCACCACAGCCGCUCUCUCACUGCCCUCCACACCUGGAUGGGGAGAGAAAAUUGAGCAAAGGGUUCCUGGGUUGAGACAAGGAGCAGGAGAGAUCACCUAUCAAAUCCUGUCACGGGUAAAACUGCCUCGGACUUAGAGAUAUGAAUUGAAUUUACUGCUGACAAAAUCAGAGCAGGGAUGGCAUGGACUUUAUGAAAAUGAAUCAAGGGUCAAACCAAGCAAAUGAUUCCCGGAACAUGUAAACUGGAGAGAAUGUUUGAAUGUGUACAACCCUCCUGAGUGUGUAUUUAACCAAUGCAAUGAAAAGGUGUGUAAGGAGAAUUGUUGUAGUUAACCAUGUGCCUCUGGCAGUUGCCAAGCACCCAGCAGGCUGCUUACUGUCCCUUUUAUCCCUUAUUAAAAAACUACAAAUUUUAA